Long non-coding RNA from Sitophilus oryzae (rice weevil), 497 nucleotides. RefSeq lists it as uncharacterized. The record is from RefSeq and is a predicted model, not a curated record. The transcript has 3 exons. NCBI's taxonomy places the organism in Eukaryota, Metazoa, Arthropoda, Insecta, Coleoptera, Curculionidae.
AUGUGGUUCAGUGCGAUAGCUAAGAUCAAACUGAACCAAGUCUAAAAGACUUUGAUGUGAAUGUUGAAGAUCUAAAAUUCUACAUUCUUACAAUAAAUAUUGGCAUUAGUUUCUUAUGUUUUGUAGCCACAACAUAUUUGUUGACAAGGAUAUAUUAUAGCUAUUUAAAUAAUAAUAGGAAAAAGGCACCAUCUUUUUAUUUUAAUAUUAAAGACAAUAACUCUAGCUUCAUCAAGUAUAUUUUUACAGCUUCCAUCUGUGAUUUGGGAUUUAUCAGUUUAUAGUUAUCAUCUUCAUUUUAUAUCCUUGUAUAUAACUCUAAGUCAAUUACUGGCGUACAAAGUUAUUUCUUCAUGUCCAAAGAUAUGGUGUUUACUCACUAUAUUUUCAUCUGUGUUUAUCAAAAGUUUUAUUAAUCAGUAUUUAAAUAGAGUUAUUAGUUUUGGUAUCAUCUAAAUGGGAAGAUUUUUUUUAAUAUAAAUACAUAUUACUUUGCA